GUUUUAAUAAAUUUAAAAAUACUUUUGUUUCUCUCCCUUCUUCUCUCUGAAAUUUAUCCACUUCGUUCCUUAAUUUAGCCAUAAAAGGAAGUUUUCGGAGAUAUGUAUGGCCGAGCCUUUGUGAGAGAUGUAAGUAUAGUACAAAGGAUUCAUUUCUUGAAAUAUUCCAUCUUAGAGACAUGAAGAGUCUACAAAUCCGUGGAGAUCUACACUAUGUUUGAAAUGAAGUUUUUUAAGAGGGUAGGAGGAGUAUUUUCAUCUCAAGGCCAACAAAAGCCUAUAAAUUUCUAGAGAUUUAAAGUAAAAGUUAUAUGUCGCCUACCUACGAGGAACUCCAACAACAAUCAGUGGAAACCGUCAUCCGAUCAAGUAUAUCCUUUUUCUUAUCAUGCGGUAGAAUUUGAACAUGAAAUAAGAACAUCAAAUUCUUAACCAUUGAGCCAUCUUUAGUUGGGAAGCACAUCAUUUUAUUUACCAUGUAAG
Long non-coding RNA from Manihot esculenta (cassava), 483 nucleotides. RefSeq lists it as uncharacterized. Lineage: Eukaryota; Viridiplantae; Streptophyta; Magnoliopsida; Malpighiales; Euphorbiaceae. The transcript has 4 exons. The record is from RefSeq and is a predicted model, not a curated record.